GCCUACGGGGCGCAGCAGUGGGGGAUAUUGCACAAUGGGGGAAACCCUGAUGCAGCGACGCCGCGUGGGCGAAGGAGCGUUUCGGCGCGUAAAGCCCUAUCGGCAGGGAAGAAGGAGGACGGUACCUGACUAAGAAGCCCCGGCUAACUACGUGCCAGCAGCCGCGGUAAUACGUAGGGGGCAAGCGUUAUCCGGAUUUACUGGGUGUAAAGGGAGCGUAGACGGUCCUGCAAGCCAGAUGUGAAAGCCCGGGGCUCAACCCCGGGACUGCAUUUGGAACUGUAAGGCU
Molecule: ribosomal RNA, 289 nt
Filed under: uncultured bacterium
Lineage: Bacteria
Description: partial 16S ribosomal RNA
Rfam family: Bacterial small subunit ribosomal RNA
Source: RNAcentral